CAAAAAAGGCCUCGCCCCCUUUCCCAAGCCACCCUUCCUUGGGAUCAGCCUGCAGUUCCACAGGUAGGGAGACUGGUUUGCCUCAGCUGAAGGCGAUCCUGGGGGAAGACUCUGGGGAUGAGGAGAAGAGGGAAAGGGCGGUGGUGGUGGGUGGAAAAGAGCAGUGGGGUGCAAGGGUCACAGACCUAACAAACAGCUGAUUUUUCAACAGCUGGGAACCUAUGGAAGAAGUGUUCCUGGGGGCCGACUUCGGCAGCUGAGCAGUUACUGUAGUUUCUAUCCCCAUGUCUAGUCACCGAGGGGAAAAAGGUGCCUAAGCAGGAGAAAUAGAAAAAGGUGCAGGCCACCAAGUGGGGUGAAGUGCAGGGUUAGGGCUCAGGAGAACUGCUCAAGCAGUUUGGAAAUCCUGUGCAGCCACGGAAAGUCCCUGUAUAUGUGUUUGUUUGUUUGUGUGUGUGUGUGUAACAGAUAACACCACUCCUUCAAUAUCCCUCACCUUGAGAGCCCUCUUAGGGUUGCUCUGAAUCGAUCAUAAUUCGAUGGCUCAGAAGGCUAAAAAGGUUUAAUUAAAACAACAGGUGCAAGUAAGUCAUUAUUACUUAAAGCUGACACCCCUUCUACUACCGUGUUACAUAGAUGGCUAGCCAAGGAUUCCCUAGAGUACUCCUCUAACCUUCUCUCUCUUUGUGCCUCUUCAGAAGAUGGAUGAAGUGAGCUGAUGGACGGCACCCCUGAAUGUCCUUGGAAAGUUCCUAAUUUGGGGCAGUCACCAGAGGCUCCCUGUUCCCAUCCCCUUCUGGACCCUUCGUCCUGCCCUGUCUGGAGGCCUUACACCUGCCUCUGGGAAGGCCUCCAUCAUCACCCUCUGGAGGACGGAAGGAUGUAACCAGAGAGGAAGAGCCCCCAUCAGCCACCAACCUGCGUGCCUUUCCCCUCUUUCCUUUCCCCCUAGUCUCCCCCCCCACAAGCAAACCUCCUUCCGAGGGGGGCACAGAGAACCCCGUGUCCCGCCUGGAAGGGACACCCGAAUCCUCCCGCCUGGGCCGUUCGGCGGAUCCCCUCUUCAGCCCUGGAUCCCUGCCCUUGAUGGAAACCAGGGGGCUCCAUCCUUCCCCCCCCCACGCUGUCCCUGCCCUCCCACACUCACCACGAUGGCCCAGGUGAGCUGCUCCGUGCGACUGGGGGGCCGGAGGACUCCCUCCCCCUUAGGCCGGCUGAGACGGCCUGAGGGCAGGCCAGCU
Molecule: long non-coding RNA, 1241 nt
Filed under: Pogona vitticeps (central bearded dragon)
Lineage: Eukaryota; Metazoa; Chordata; Lepidosauria; Squamata; Agamidae
Description: lncRNA (ENSPVIG00000021005.1)
Source: RNAcentral